This 622-nucleotide ribosomal RNA is filed under the name uncultured bacterium. RNAcentral's name for it is "bacterial SSU rRNA". It matches the Rfam family "Bacterial small subunit ribosomal RNA", at positions 28 to 641 of the family's 1533-position model. The record is from RNAcentral.
AUUGAACGCUGGCGGCAUGCCUAACACAUGCAAGUCGAACGGAAACGAUGGAAGCUUGCUUCCAGGCGUCGAGUGGCGGACGGGUGAGUAAUGCUUAGGAAUCUGCCCAAUAGUGGGGGACAACUCGGGGAAACUCGAGCUAAUACCGCAUACGCCCUACGGGGGAAAGCAGGGGAUCUUCGGACCUUGCGCUAUUGGAUGAGCCUAAGUCGGAUUAGCUUGUUGGUGAGGUAAAAGCUCACCAAGGCGACGAUCCAUAGCUGGUCUGAGAGGACGAUCAGCCACACUGGGACUGAGACACGGCCCAGACUCCUACGGGAGGCAGCAGUGGGGAAUAUUGGACAAUGGGGGCAACCCUGAUCCAGCAAUGCCGCGUGUGUGAAGAAGGCCUGCGGGUUGUAAAGCACUUUCAGUAGAGAAGAAAAGCUUACGGAUAAUACCCGUGAGUCUUGACGUAACCUACAGAAGAAGCUCCGGCUAACUCCGUGCCAGCAGCCGCGGUAAUACGGAGGGAGCGAGCGUUAAUCGGAAUUACUGGGCGUAAAGCGCGCGUAGGCGGCUUUGUAUGUUGGAUGUGAAAGCCCUGGGCUCAACCCAGGAAUUGCAUUCGAUACUGCAUGGC